Long non-coding RNA from Melitaea cinxia (Glanville fritillary), 283 nucleotides. RefSeq lists it as uncharacterized. NCBI's taxonomy places the organism in Eukaryota, Metazoa, Arthropoda, Insecta, Lepidoptera, Nymphalidae. The record is from RefSeq and is a predicted model, not a curated record. The transcript has 3 exons.
UAUCUACAUAUUUUAAAAAAAAAAAAAAACAACGCCGGUGUCAUUCAUCACAGCUUCUUACCAAACGGCAUGAGCAUUACUGCAGAUGUGUACUGUAAAGAGCUAAACACAAUAAUGAGGAAGCUCGCACGUCUCCAACCAGCUUUGGUCAAUCGCUGGGCUCCGCUGCUCCUGCACGACAACGCGUGACCUCGUACUGCACAGCAGACGGUCUCCAAGUUACAAGAGCUGGAGUUGGAAGUUCUCCGUCAUCCACCGUACUCACCAGAUUUUGUCCUUACAG